GAGGUAACGCGCUGAGGAGUGCUGAACAGGGAGAGUAAUCGCAUCGGAACGUGGCCCUGAAGUGGGGGGAUAACGCAGCGAAAGUUUGCGCUAAUACCGCAUAUUCUGUGAGCAGGAAAGCAGGGGAUCGCAAGACCUUGCGCUUUAGGAGCGGCCGAUGUCGGAUUAGCUAGUUGGUGGGGUAAAGGCUCACCAAGGCGACGAUCCGUAGCGGGUCUGAGAGGAUGAUCCGCCACACUGGGACUGAGACACGGCCCAGACUCCUACGGGAGGCAGCAGUGGGGAAUUUUGGACAAUGGGGGCAACCCUGAUCCAGCCAUUCCGCGUGAGUGAAGAAGGCCUUCGGGUUGUAAAGCUCUGUCGGCGGGAACGAAACGGCGGGCUCUAACAUAGCCUGUUAAUGACGGUACCUGAAGAAGAAGCACCGGCUAACUACGUGCCAGCAGCCGCGGUAAUACGUAGGGUGCGAGCGUUAAUCGGAAUUACUGGGCGUAAAGCGUGCGCAGGCGGAUUGUUAAGCAAGACGUGAAAUCCCCGGGCUUAACCUGGGAAUGGCGUUUUGAACUGGCAGUCUAGAGUGCGUCAGAGGGGGGUGGAAUUCCACGUGUAGCAGUGAAAUGCGUAGAGAUGUGGAGGAACACCGAUGGCGAAGGCAGCCCCCUGGGAUGACACUGACGCUCAUGUACGAAAGCGUGGGUAGCAAACAAGAUUAAGAUACCCUGGUAGUCCCACGCCCUAAAACGAUGUCAACCUGGUUGUUGGGGGAGUGAAUCCCCUUAUUACGAAAGCUACCCCGUGAAGUUGACCG
This 808-nucleotide ribosomal RNA is filed under the name uncultured Thiobacillus sp. RNAcentral describes it as "bacterial SSU rRNA". It matches the Rfam family "Bacterial small subunit ribosomal RNA", at positions 76 to 871 of the family's 1533-position model. The record is from RNAcentral. Lineage: Bacteria; Pseudomonadati; Pseudomonadota; Betaproteobacteria; Nitrosomonadales; Thiobacillaceae.